UCAAAAGGGGGACUUUAUUUUUAUUACACUGGAGCCAGGCGCCAGUGCGCCAGUUCAGCUUUGAUACACAAUAAAUCAGCAAAGCUGUUACUCAGUUUGGAAACCAAGAUUGCAGUGGCACUAAAAACACAUUGAAAACAUUUACUUUCUUCCCUAUUUUUUUUUCCCUCUUUUGAUUUUGGUACAAAAAUGGUACAAACAACAAUACAAAAUAUUUGUGCUGUUGACGGUUACAAAAAAUGGUUUUUGAACUCGGUUAACGGACGCAAACUGCUUUUGCGCUUCAGCGUGAAUACAGCAGAACAGCAGAAGUCUUCCUCGAGAACAACCACAGUCAUGCGGGCUGCUACACAGCUUCUCCAUCGUUAAAGGAAACAUGCAAAAUCAUAAUUAAAAGAAAGUGCUCCAAUUAUACAUCUAUAUGUCAUCGUUGGUUUUUUCACCUAUUUGAUUUGUAGCUUCAAGCACUAACUACAUUAUGUACACAUCAUGGUGAGCAGUUGGGCAUGGGGUUUGUGUGUACUUGAGAUAACUUUGAUUUUUUCCCCAUGAAACUGAGUUAACUUUGCGUGGGAGACACCUACGUUGUCUAGCUGCUGUUUUAAACAUCAUGUUCAUCGUUACACAGCAUUCCCCCCAUUUUUUCACACUUACAAUGAAGAGCUUCAAAAGACAUCACAAAUAAAAGUCCCAUAUUUUACCUUAAUAUGUUUCUUGAGACUAAACAAAGUCACAAUCUUGGCAUAUUGUGUUGUACAGACCCUGCCUACCCUGCCCGCUACAGUUCUCCAACGCCUGGACGUUGACCCUAUGCAAAGUGGGUGCAGGUGACACAGCCACCUCCUACAGCCCACUUACUGCUGGAGGGUGAAUUCGGACCCGAGCGUCCCCAAAAGCCCAUCCACAGAGGCUCAGGUGCCUGCUGCAUGGAUGUGAGCUCCCCGCCACCCCCUUACAACCAUCAAUGGCAUCGCCUGGUCCAGCAAAAAAACAGGAAAAAAACAAACAAACAGGAAAAUGCAAAACUAUAAGCAUAACUAUGAGUAGCACGUAGGACACCGAUAACAGACUUGCCUAUUUACUGUCAUUAAUUACCUGCUGAAUUUCCUUGUUGCCUUGCAAAGCAUUUCCGUGACGGAUGCUUCUCCCUUUCUACAGGCUGCGUAAUGAUCAGACCGGGGCUGUGCCCCAGGUGACUGCGGGCACAGCGGGGACCUAGGGCAUGGAUGGUCCUGGCUCAGAGAUGGGCAAGCUUCAUGCCGAGGAGGUGGGAGCCACAUGAGGCAUCACUGUCCCUGUCCCCAUCCCUGUCCACAUCCCCUAGACACUGCUGAGAGCCGCGGUACUGGCUCCCGACAGUGGUGUGAGGUACGGGUGGGAAAUUGGGUGUAAAAAUGCUAUUUUGAGGGUGGGCUCACCUCCAUCUGUCUGAAAGCAGUGCUCUUUCCCCCAUCGUCUCCAGGUGGGCAAAAAGUGGGGGCUCCAAUGUGUGGGCACCGCUUAUUUCAAUAGUUUCUUGAAGUCAAUGCUUUGAUUUAUUUAAUCAGAGAAUAACCCUGUGUGGCCUGUAAGAAAAACCUGUAAGUUUAGGGAAAGUUGGUGUUUCCCCACCUCGGCUCCUGGUAAGCUGCAGUCACCUCCAGCCAUGAAUAGCAAUGCCACUUCUUCCAUGGGACCCCUCAGAUUGAUGUGUACUGCAUUAUCUUAGCUGGUUAUAAAGUGUAAUUAAUAUUAACAAGCAAAAAGCUUUGCAAAAAAGUGAUCUAUUUUCAUUGCUCGAUGUGCUGCUUGCUUACCUUCUGCCUGUUCCACUGCGAGGAAAGGGGCCAGACCCUGCAGCCAUGCUUGUGGGACUGCAAAGGUGAGUGGUGGAGGGUGCGGGGAGGAGGAGGAGGAGGAGCAGGAGGAGGUCAUCCUAUGGAGGGACACUGAGCAAAACUGGGUCAAAAGAUAAUGAACUAGUUGGUUUGAUUUAUAGGCUUAUGGGGUUGGAGUGGCUGGAUUGCAAAUGCUGCAGAAAAAUAUCCGCUGAUUUUUUAAGAAAAGUUUCCAAUGGAAGCAGGCUGAUUUAUUUUUAAUCACUCUGACAGUUUUGUUUGACUUAGGUUGCAUAAAAUGUUCUUAAAAUCCUGAACUGUUUAGACAAGCUGAAGUCUGACAGCGUCUCCCUCCUGGCCAGGGAGGGAGCUGCUCCUAUUUGCCAUGCUAGGGGGGCGGCUGCCCCCUGCAGCCCUGGGUACGGCCCCUGGGCACACACCACGACCUGUAGGCCAUCGCCCCGGCCAACAGCACGCCAGGCAUCAAGCACCAGGUGCUCUGGAGCCCACGUUCAGCUCCUGCUGGUAUAGCCAGGUGCCCGCACAGCUUGGCAUCCAGGCCAGCAGCACUGCGGGAAGCGGGCGCCAUCGGCUCCUCCCGGCCUCCAUCCGCCUCCUUCACCUGGUGGUGAGGUUACAGCGAUGGGCACAGAGCACGGCCGUGACUGGGGAAUUAUUAUUUAUUAUGCUGCUGCUGUGUCCGGGUGGCUUCAGAGGAGGUGCACACCCCAGUUGGUGCCGGCCUGCAGACAAGGGAAAGGCCCGAGGCAGCAGGAAGGGGAGACCAGAGGCUCAGGGGGAGCCCAGCAGCUGGAGGCCGGGAGCUGCCAGGCCUGCUGGAGGCUGGGGGAGAGGAGGGCAGCCAGGAGGAGGAAAAGGCUCACGGCAGAAGCAGGCCAAGACCUUCAUGGUGGUUACAUGAGACAACUGGGCACCCAGCUCUGGAAUAGAAACCUGCAAAGGAAACCUUCAUGGGGAUGGGGCGCGUGCUGCUCGCAGCUGUGUCCUCGCCUGGCUGCGGCCACUGCUCCCGGGUCUGCCGGGUCUGAGCCAUCCAUCGCCCCCGGGGCUCCUCCAGAAACUUGUCUGAGUGUGUGUUUGCUCUCUGGGCAGUGGAAGGACAAAGUGACCGGGCGGCUAACUGACCGACCAAGAGAAAAAGAAAGAUCGCAUCUUCGGUAAUUAAUAACAUACUGGUAACGUUUUGAGUCCCCUUGGGCAGACUUUUACCACAUUCCACUUCAUACAAGACACAUUUCAAAUGCUCGUUAAUUUACAGAAACUGCAUUUUAUAGAAAAUAUGAUACAGUGAAAUAUAAAAUGCACUAGGAGCAUUUCAAAAAUCUAUAGAGACGAUCUUGCAGCCUAGUAUACCCUCUGAAACAACGUCCACUCGUUACCGCAAGCUCUCUUCUUCUCAUUCUCGCGCUCUCUCGCGUGCACGCUCUCGCUCCCCCCCGCCCCCCCGUUUAACUCUUAGCAUUCAACUUGAGAAUUAAUCAAGAUAUCAAAAAAGCAUGAUUAUCCCCUGGAUAAUCACCUUCCAGUACUGUGCACAUUCUUGGAUUUAAAUGAAAAUAUAUCUAAGCACUUUUACAAUUUUUAGCGAACCCACUGCAAAAUCGUCUGCAGAAUAUAAAACACAGGUAAUCCAAGAUUUCAUAGCACAUUAAUUAAGUGGCUCAUAAUCCAUUAAAUGUGGUUUAUAUUACACAUCCAUGCAGUCUAAAUCAUUUUACAAACAUUAGACAGAAACCCACUAGUCCAAAUCAGUAAAGGAAAAAUGUAAUAAAAAAAGCUAAUAACUAUUUGUUAUUGGUUAAACUGACCCUACAUAUAAACUAGGUAGUAUGCUACCAUUUAUAAUACUGAUGUUGAAUUAUGCCUGGAUGCUGCAAAACCUCUUGCUUGCUUGGCAAUGCUUGAGCAUAUUAACCACAAGAUACUUAACAGGCCCUCGUUGCACUUCUUCUCCAAAAAAAACAUUUACUACAGAUAGCAGCGCCUACCCAUCGAAUAUAAAGGACACACAUUAGCUGAGUUACAUGAUGCUGUUGAGCUUUGGCUACUGAUGCUCCAAGGCAUUAAUGUCAUUCUAGGCUAGCUCCAUACUUACGGAUGGCAAAAGUGCUGAUUGCCGGCUCCGGCCCCUCGCGUGCCCCAGCCCGCAACGGGGCAGUGACGCGCGAGAGGCAACAGCAUUGGCUUCGUGCCGACGGGCACCACCAGAGACGUGGGACAGCACCACGUAACCCAGCCGGUAUUUACACCACUCGUGGGAGCCAAAACACGCCGAUAGCAUAAAAACAAACAAAUGGGCCUUUGGUCAUUUCACGAUUUACUUGUAGGGUUUAGGCAAGGGCUGUUGGAGAGUUCUGUGGCAAUAACCAAAGGCUUUAUCAAUGCUAUAGUUCUAUGCAGCUACAUUGAGUGUGACCAGGUUACAGCAGAGCCCCCUAGUCGGUAUUUUGCAUCUGAUAACACUGAAUUAUAUACAACAUGAUGACUAGUUCACCACCUGCUGAGGCUUAAAGAUGGCUGUUAAGAUUUCCACUCAAAACAUCUCCCCCUCCCACCCCCCAUCCUCUCCACCCCAGAGUGAGUCACCCCCUUAAAAAAAAAAAAAAAGGCAAAAAAGAAACAAUCUCCACAGUUCCUUUUUGUUAACUCCUUCCCAGCUAGAACUGGCUUAGGGUCACAGGGAGUGCUGCCCAGGAUGGUUGUAUGUUUGUUUUCAUCACUCCUGAGAUUGAAGGGAAUCUGAUACAUGCACCAAAAGGCACUUUCAAAUAUAUAUAUAUAUAUUUUAAAAACAGUGCUUCUGUUCUAAGAAAUUCAAGUUAAGACAGAGUGCCUUUCACUCUCUUUAGUCAUAAAGCAGAUAAACGAGCAAUAUCCCAGCUGACAUUAAAAAAAAACAAAAACAACAACAAAAAAACCUGCAGCAGAGACAAGUGUUCAUGCGAGACAGCUCAAUAUUCUAAAAAAAAAAUUGAAAAGAAAAAGGAAAAAAAAAAAGAAACCUCCUAAAUCACCACUAAAAAUAACAA
Cygnus olor (mute swan) is the source of this 4867-nucleotide long non-coding RNA. RefSeq lists it as uncharacterized. Lineage: Eukaryota; Metazoa; Chordata; Aves; Anseriformes; Anatidae. The record is from RefSeq and is a predicted model, not a curated record. The transcript is spliced from 2 exons.